GUCAUUAUUUUCCAGAUGAGGCCUGCUCAAGAGCAUUUGGCUGAUGGGGGCUGAAACCUCUCACUGCAACCAGGUUCAUUUGGCUCCAAGUCCUGUGUGCUCUUUAUGAAGUCAUAGCAAGGCCUGGAAUUUCCACGUGGCUGGGGAGGCCUCACAAUCAUGGUGGAAGGUGAAAGGUACUUCUUACACGGCGGCUGCAAGACAGAAUGAGAACUAGGUGAAAGAGGCUUCCCCUUAUAAAACCAUCAAAUCUCGUGAGACUUAUUCAAAACCAGGAGAACAGUAUGGAGGAAAGCAC
This 298-nucleotide long non-coding RNA is filed under the name Homo sapiens (human). Its description in RNAcentral is "HSALNT0133921". Lineage: Eukaryota; Metazoa; Chordata; Mammalia; Primates; Hominidae. The record is from RNAcentral.